UGGACAGAUAGAGACUUGCAGUCUCCACUCCCUGUUUCUGUUCUUUAUCUGUACUCAACUCCCUCUUUUCUCCCAGUCUCUGGUGCAUGACGACAAAGCUGAUAAGAAGCUGCUGAGGCAUCAUGAAUUGUUUGUACUGUCAAAGAAGAUAAAUAUGCAUGAAUAUUAGAAGCUUUUAGCUAGUAAAGGGGGGGAUUGGGUUGUUUUAACUAUGACGCGACGGAACUGUCUAUAUAAUCUCACUAGUUAUUGUAAUCGUGGCUGGUUCUCUCUGGAGACGGGCCGCUCUCUAUUGUUGUGUGCACUCUUCAAUAAAGAGCUUGUGUUUGGACCUUGCUGGUGUUGCCUGUCUCUCUGCGGUCAGACAACGAACCGUGCCGUCUGGGUUCGAGUCCCCGACAGAUUUGGCGACUCCGCCGGGACUCGUCUGACUCUCCGGUGCGGGAUCAGACUCCGAAGCAACGCAGCGCGCAUCCUCUGGCUUCAAGGAGCCUUGCCCGGUAACCUGAUCCCUGCGUCGGCAAUAAGGCGAGUCCUGUGAACCAGCUGAAGCCCGUAGAAACCCAGCAACGUCCACCUACCCGUUGAGUAGGACCCAGGUCUUCGGGGUUCGAGUCCCUGGAUAAGGUAAGCGAUCGCCAGGAAGGGGUUGGAGGCCCCGGAGAGGGGUUAGAGGCCCCGGAAUAGGGUUAGAGGCCCCGGGAUAGGGUUAGAGGCCCUACAGUCUAAAUGGGACAAUUUGGCAGUAAAUGCCUGGGGGACGCCCCGUUGUCUCUGGUACUUAGAGAUCGGAAGGAAAUCUCUGGAACAACCGGUUUGACUAAAUCUAAGAUGAGAAAUUUAUGCCAAAUUCAAUGGCCUUCCUUUACUGCUCAUUUGUCCCCGACUAAAGAUUGGCCAAGCUGCGGAACCUUUUCUGCAGACAGGAUGAAUUCCUUGAGGGAUAUUUUGGUUGACCUUAGACCGGGACAAAUGGAUUAUUUAUUUGUAUGGUGUAACUAUAAACCAAAAGAAAAACUGCUUUCGGCCCCAGCUGGCUGUGAACAAAUAUAGACAGAGGCAAACCAAAGGCAAUACAAGUUACAGUGCUGAAAUUACAUUUGCAAAGCUUAACUGUCCAGUGAGAUCCAACAGUCUGCCUUUAAGACCCUGGAGCUGGCGUGGUUUGGGGACGCUGUGAAGAAGCCACAGGCAGCUGGCCUGGACUGGAAUCUCUGAAAGAGACGCCGCAGGAGACCCCAGGGUGUAAAAGAACAGCCCUCCCAAGAGUGGAAGCAAGUCAGAGAUUCUGGACAAGUUGUAUACAGGAUAAUCUCCCAUCCACCUCUCCCCCUUCUCUGGACGUUAUACAAAGACUUGGCCAGUCUGGACGUACAUGUAUCACUGUGUGUUUGAAAGCAGGAAUUAGAAGUAAAAGGCAAUCAAAAGUCUGGGAAAGUUAAUUGUGUCCUUUUUAAAAGUAAAGAAGCACUACUCAAAGACCGUAGCAGCCCUGCCAUUCAUUGAAACCAGGAGACUGAGUCUACGUAAAGUCCAUCAACAAAAGACUGCUUUGACUCCAUGCUGGAAAGGCCCUUUCCAAGUCCUGUUAACCACCAACACUGCUGUGAAGUGCCAAGAACUGCCUACCUGGACCCAUGCUUCUCACUGCAAAAAGACCCCUCCACCUCGGGAGGACUCUCCGACUCAUGAUCAGCCUAUUCCUCCUUCUAGCUCUGCUGUACCUUCUGGACAGCAGGAAAAAGAAAAAAAAAACAAGGUGAAGUGCUAGUAACCUCUCCCUUGUCCACUGACAGACCUACUGUGCCUUUGGAUUUUUCUAAAAGAAGCAAAACCAUUACAGGGUGAUGUGCUAGUAACCUCUCCCCUGUAUGAUGCUGAACCACACUGUUUCAGAAAAAGAGAAGAAGGAACACUCGCUCCAUUGAAACCACCAAAGUCCAGGAAUUCCUGACUACAAAAAACCAUUAAGAACUGACCCUGGUGAAGAAACAAAGAAUUAUAUACUGGCAGGAAGAAACUUGUGGGACCCAUGCUUAGGAAUGUGGUAUUGAUUGGAUUUUGGGGUUUAUUCUACAGGCUGUGCCCUGUGUUUUGAAUAAGUCCUUCAGCAUGUAUUGCCCUCCCUAAUUGGAUUUUAAAUGACAAGUACCAAAGGCACUUUGUUGCCACUGCCCCUGCCAUCUCCUCCAUUACACUGUUACCCCUGUAACACAUCCAAAUACAGACAAUGCCAUAUAUCGGAUAAAACCAACGGCCAAGGCCUUCACACUUUAGUGAUUUAUUUAAAUAUUGUUUGAAAAAAAAUAUUUUUAAGGUUCAGGAUAUCCCAUAUAAGCGAACAAUUGAAUGAAAAAGAAUGGAUCAGUGGAAAUAAAAAUACAUAAUAUCACUACAAGUGAACCCCAAGAAUUUGUAAUUGAAAUUAAUGGGUUCUAUAGUGAAGUAGAUAUGAUGGCUGUUCCUGGAAUUUGCACUGUGUUAAAUGAGAAAGGCCCUUAUUGGUAUUUGGUCACCCAAUUAGUAAAUAAUCAAAUGACUACCCAAAGAGUUUGUUCUGCCACUGAAAAUUUUACCUGCAUAGAAAUUAUUCCAGUGACUAAUAAUGUUACCUGUACCUUAUUGCAAUACACCCCUUCUUAUGCCAUUAAUAUCAAUGCCUCCUGGAAAUACAUAAAGGUGUUCAACCAACAGAUGUGGUAUAGUACUACACCAAAAAGAGAUGUAUUAGGAUAUCAAUGGACUGUGUGAUUAACACUACACUAGGGACUGUUAAAUUUUCAUUGCCCUUAUCCAGUUUCCAGAUCACCUCUACAUACCCAAAUUGUUCAAAAGGGGCUGCUAUUAGAUUAGCACAACAGAGGGCUUGGGUUAUUUCCUCUAGAAAGAAGAGAGACUUGACCGGAUCCCUAUGGGAUGGGGCCAAUAGUACAGCAGCAGUUUAAAAUAUUUUUAAGAACCAAAAACAUAAUAAGAAUUUGGGGCAACUAAAGAAGGCCACAGGCCUUAUUUCUGGGGCACAGCUAACCCAGGUACAGGCUGGAAUUGGUGAGUUACAUGUUAUCUCCGCCCUUAGUUCUAUGACCCAGAAGUUGCUGACAGAAAUGGUAUUGAAUAUCACUGAGGCUGGGAAGGCAUUGCAGUGGGAUCUAGCAUGUUCAGGCUUGGCCCACUGCCCUUACAGACACAUCAGGAGUACCAUCUGAUCUGUGGCCAUGGAGACAUACUUGGAGACUUUCUGGGUGGAAGUGCGGAUGUUCUCAAUGCUCCUUCCAAGCAUAUGGACCGGUUGGGGGUGUGUGGGCUCCCACAUACCGAAUCCUGCCGGGUCCAUAGGGAGGAUGCAUGUGGAAUUGGGUAAAUCACUGAGACAUCUGGGAAAUUAGACUACCGCCAAUGCCCUGGUGGACUUGGCAACCGCACAGAGAAAACUAAGGCAGAUGGUUCUCCAGAACUGCUUGGCUCUAGAUAUCUUACUGGCCUCUCAGGGAGGAACGUGCACUAAUUAGGCAAAAAUGCUGCGUAUAUGUUCCUGAUGUUUAUAACGCCACCUGGGACAGAGCAAACCACCUCAUACAAGUAGCAAAGGACCAUGGAGGGGAGCGGGUUGAAUCCUGGUGGAGUAACCUGUUCAAUUGGAUUCCAAACAUAGGUGGUUGGCUCCAUAAUGUACUCCGAAGCGCCGUUGUAAUUAUAUGUGGCCUGCUAGCUUUGUAUGUUAUGAUAAAGGUUGGAUGUUGGAUGGGUACCAAGCUGUGUUCCGUCCAAAAGGAAUCAACUCCAAGCUCACCACUCAUAGCAGCUAGUUGUCCCAGGAGUCCCUCCAAGGCACUCCAGGGACAAAAGGGGGGACUGUUAGGCCCAAAAAUAUGGAGUAUAGAACAUUGUUUGGCCAGCUUAGCCAAAGUUAGGCUAACAGUAGUUGCUGGGCCAUUCCUGUCUCUCUGUGAAACCUGAGGGCAUGCUUGCUUAAGCUGCAGAGAAUAAGAUAAGAGGUGGGGGCCGCAUUCUUGUACCAGAAGUGCUAGGAACAGUUUGUUUGGACAGAUAGAGACUUGCAGUCUCCACUCCCUGUUUCUGUUCUUUAUCUGUACUCAACUCCCUCUUUUCUCCCAGUCUCUGGUGCAUGACGACAAAGCUGAUAAGAAGCUGCUGAGGCAUCAUGAAUUGUUUGUACUGUCAAAGAAGAUAAAUAUGCAUGAAUAUUAGAAGCUUUUAGCUAGUAAAGGGGGGGAUUGGGUUGUUUUAACUAUGACGCGACGGAACUGUCUAUAUAAUCUCACUAGUUAUUGUAAUCGUGGCUGGUUCUCUCUGGAGACGGGCCGCUCUCUAUUGUUGUGUGCACUCUUCAAUAAAGAGCUUGUGUUUGGAC
Long non-coding RNA from Emys orbicularis (European pond turtle), 4372 nucleotides. RefSeq lists it as uncharacterized. The transcript is spliced from 3 exons. The record is from RefSeq and is a predicted model, not a curated record. NCBI's taxonomy places the organism in Eukaryota, Metazoa, Chordata, Testudines, Emydidae.